Molecule: ribosomal RNA, 569 nt
Filed under: Escherichia coli
Lineage: Bacteria; Pseudomonadati; Pseudomonadota; Gammaproteobacteria; Enterobacterales; Enterobacteriaceae
Description: partial 23S ribosomal RNA
Rfam family: Bacterial large subunit ribosomal RNA
Source: RNAcentral
CGUGACGGCGCGAGCAGGUGCGAAAGCAGGUCAUAGUGAUCCGGUGGUUCUGAAUGGAAGGGCCAUCGCUCAACGGAUAAAAGGUACUCCGGGGAUAACAGGCUGAUACCGCCCAAGAGUUCAUAUCGACGGCGGUGUUUGGCACCUCGAUGUCGGCUCAUCACAUCCUGGGGCUGAAGUAGGUCCCAAGGGUAUGGCUGUUCGCCAUUUAAAGUGGUACGCGAGCUGGGUUUAGAACGUCGUGAGACAGUUCGGUCCCUAUCUGCCGUGGGCGCUGGAGAACUGAGGGGGGCUGCUCCUAGUACGAGAGGACCGGAGUGGACGCAUCACUGGUGUUCGGGUUGUCAUGCCAAUGGCACUGCCCGGUAGCUAAAUGCGGAAGAGAUAAGUGCUGAAAGCAUCUAAGCACGAAACUUGCCCCGAGAUGAGUUCUCCCUGACUCCCUGAGAGUCCUGAAGGAACGUUGAAGACGACGACGUUGAUAGGCCGGGUGUGUAAGCGCAGCGAUGCGUUGAGCUAACCGGUACUAAUGAACCGUGAGGCUUAACCUUACAACGCCGAAGGUGUUU